This 383-nucleotide ribosomal RNA is filed under the name uncultured eukaryote. RNAcentral describes it as "partial 18S ribosomal RNA". It matches the Rfam family "Eukaryotic small subunit ribosomal RNA", at positions 592 to 976 of the family's 1831-position model. The record is from RNAcentral.
CAAUAGCGUAUAUUAAAGUUGUUGCAGUUAAAAAGCUCGUAGUUGGAUUUCUGGUGGGAGCGAUCGGUCUGGCGCUUAGCGCGAGUACUUGCAUCGUCUCCGGCCAUCCUUGGGGAGAGUCUGUCUGGCAUUAGGUUUUCGGGCAGAGGAUCCUCAUCGUUUACUGUGAAAAAAUUAGAGUGUUCAAAGCAGGCUUAUGCCGUUGAAUAUAUUAGCAUGGAAUAAUAAGAUAGGACUUUGGUACUAUUUUGUUGGUUUGCGCACCAAAGUAAUGAUUAAUAGGGACAGUUGGGGGUAUUCGUAUUCCGUUGUCAGAGGUGAAAUUCUUGGAUUUACGGAAGACGAACUACUGCGAAAGCAUUUACCAAGGAUGUUUUCAUUAA